ACUCAAAUGAAUUGACGGGGACCCGCACAAGCGGUGGAGCGUGUUGUUUAAUUCGACGGUAAACGAAGAACCUUACCCAGGCUUGACAUCCUGCCAAGCUUUGCGAAAGCAAAGUGUGCCUUCGGGCCGCAGUGACAGGUGAUGCAUGGCCGUCGUCAGCUCGUGUCGUGAGAUGUUUGGUUAAGUCCAUCAACGAGCGCAACCCUUAUAGUCUGUUGAAUUUUUCAGGCUAGACUGCCCCGGUAACGGGGAGGAAGGAGGGGAUGAUGUCAGGUCAUUAUUUCCCUUACGUCUGGGGCUACAAACACGCUACAAUGGCCGGUACAAAGGGCAGCCAAGCAGCAAUGCGGAGCAAAUCCCAUCAAAGCCGGUCUCAGUUCGGAUUGUAGGCUGAAACUCGCCUGCAUGAAGCUGGAAUCGCUAGUAACGGUAGGUCAGCUAUACUACCGUGAAUACGUUCCCGGGUCUUGUACACACCGCCCGU
Molecule: ribosomal RNA, 484 nt
Filed under: uncultured bacterium
Lineage: Bacteria
Description: partial 16S ribosomal RNA
Rfam family: Bacterial small subunit ribosomal RNA
Source: RNAcentral